AGUCUUUUCCAAAUCAAGCCGAAUUAAGACUUGUUCAAAUAGUAUAAUGCAAAUCGUUCAAUCGGGAAUUGAUACCGCUAUACUGGGAGAUGUUCAUAUUCACCUAUAAAUGGACAAACAGCUUAAUAAGAUUUAGUUUGAUACAAGAUUCCAAACGAAGUGUCAGAAGCUAUUUUGAUUUGAAGGAUGGAAUUCCUGUUUUAAUAUUUCUCAUUUCUAUUGCCAGUAUUAUUGCGUUCAAAUUUUUUCAGUGAUCAAUUUUUACCAAAAGAAUUUGAAAGCUGUUUUGUCUGAAAUGUGGAAGUGUGAAGACGCUAUCGGGCUUGAGAUUACAAACAACUAUCCGGAUAAAAACGUCCCAGCCCAACCUGCGCUUAGGGAGAAAAAAUAAAAGUGCAAAAAACAGACUGUGUGGAUAGCCUAUGCUCUAUAAGGGAGUGAAUGGAGACAUACCGACAGAAACCCAGAACUUGUGGUUCAUGCGGAAUAACCCUCAUUCUAAGUAUCGAUGUCGCUUUUCUGCAGGUGCUUGAGGCCAGGUGCUGGCUCACCUUUGGGAACGGUUAGCCAGCACCAAUAAAAGUUGAAGGAAGUGUGAAUAAAUUUUCAGCAUAGUAAAGUUGCAAACAUAGCAAAUAGUUGAAUAAAUCAGCCCGAGGGUCUGGAUAUUCUAUUAAUCUAAAGCCGGGCCCACACCGGACGGGCUGCGUUGCGCCGAACAGGAAAUGUUUUGAGAAAAACUUCACUAUGAGUUUUGAGUGGAAUCAUGAUAAUAUUGAAAAACUCAAUAAAGCAUACCGAGAGAAUACAUUAUUGUGGAAACCGAUAGACAAUAACUACCCCAUAAAAAAUAAAAAAACCGACGCAUGGCUUCAUAUUCCUAGUCAUAUGUGAAGUGUCUGAAGCUAAGACCAAGAUGAGUUCUCUGCUGUCUUCAUACAGAAGAGAGAAAAGCAAAGAAAUCAAGGGUUGCUGGACAAGGCAAGGAAGCAAUUUAUAUAUUAUACUUCCUCCUUGGAAAGCUAGUUUCAGAAUUUUCGAACGAAAAUUACUGACUUUUUACUUUAAAUACGUUGAUGCCGAAAUGGAGAUGUACUCAUACCGUCAGCACAUGAGUUCUGCAUGUUCUUCCUACCAAAGUACUCAACAUACACCUGAAACAGAAAACGUCAAUCAGGAGAACUAACAACUUCAGGAAAUUGCAACAGCUCAACCUGGCAGUGAUUUGCAGGAGUAUCUCAAUACUUUUUAAAAUUAUUGCCCGAACACUUUUAAUUUGGUCUUGUUUAAACAGAACAAGUUACUUACUAACAUCUGUAAGAGCUCUUGAUAUGCUCUGCAUUGAGGUCUUAAAAAGGUACAUCAAGCUUGUAAAGGAAUCGAAGGAUGCCAGGUAGCGUAGCGUAAUAGCCAACCUCUCUUUCACAGAUAUAGCACUUCUGAUGUCUGGUGUCAUACUUCAUCGCUGCUGGUCUAAUAAAAGUAAGAAGAUACUCGAAGUCUAUCGGUGGCAUUCGACAAAAAUUUUCAAACUGACCUAUUCGGCCAAGCUGCAGUUCAUUAAGCAGAUUAUUUUCACCAUAUAAUUCCCUAUUUUUCAGAAUAGGUGUUACCCAGCAAUGACGUUUACGUUGAAACUUCCGGUCCUCUUUUAAAUGAUGAUAAAUUAUAACAAAAUUAGCAGAACUCGCCAUUUGGUCAUAUUCCACUACUGACUUAAACUAGAACUACACUACACUAGACAUGCGUAUACGCUGCACAUGGAACAAACUGCUCAAUCCUGAGCACCACCGUAGAACAGCGCGGUGCAGCGCAGCGUCUCCAGUGUGGACCCGGCUUAACAAAUCCGGUUGCUACGUUGCAGAAAUCCCAAGGGACAUAUACAGGGAUUCGAAAAGAAACUUUAGAGAUUCUUCUCGAAGUUCAACUCCUACGUCAACUUCAUUGGAAAAGA
Molecule: long non-coding RNA, 1954 nt
Filed under: Hermetia illucens (black soldier fly)
Lineage: Eukaryota; Metazoa; Arthropoda; Insecta; Diptera; Stratiomyidae
Description: uncharacterized LOC119655373
Source: RNAcentral